GAGGGUUGGCACAUACUUCAUACGUGGGAGCUGGGCUUCUCUCAAAUCUGCUCUCAGCUUCAUUGGCCUUCUGUGGCAGCCUCAGCCAGGCUUUGGAAAGGCUUUCAAAAGCUCAAAAAGACCAGGCUUUAUUAGAAGAUGAGCUGAAGUGACUCACUUUUAAAAAAUUAUCUGGCAGAAAAGGCUCUGAAAAGCCCAGAUCUUCCAUCUUGGUGCUGUUUCAGCCUGCACCUUUUCACUGCUGGACUCAGGUAUUCUCUGCCAGGUUUAAAGAUGCCUUACACAUGUUUUUCUUCAUCAAAUCCAGAAAUUCUCAGUAAACUGUGUCUCAAACACCCGCAGCCAAUUAGCACAUAAAGCUCACAGCUCUCUGAAAUUUAUGCCAGGCUUUUUGAAGCAGCAGUAAGAUGCAGGGAAGUCCAUUUUGCAUUGAUCAGUCUGUGCCCACUCACAUCAAGCAUGCCCUGUGACUGCCAGCAGUCCUUCAUUAAACUGACAACAGAGAUUUAAGUACCUUACAGAAUUUAAAAUGUAUCUUCAGAAAUAUUUUUAAGUUGACUUCCUUCUAUGAAGAACUAUCUUGCAGAAGCACUUGAGAAUCCAGGUGGUUUGAAGUAAUCAGUCACUGCAUUAUAUAAGCACACAUUUCUAUUCCUGAUUCAGGGAAGAGGCAAAAGCUUCUCCUUAUGGUACAGAGUGGAACACUGUCACUGGAUGUCAACACAGGAAAAGUAUGAAUGGGUUCAAAAAGAAGCCACCAAUUAAUUAAAUGAGGACAGACAUACUGGUGUCAGCUCAUUCUGAGAGGCCUGAUGCAAUGUGUUACUCAAGAAGCCCAGGAAGGAUCACUCUGCACAUGCUCUGCUUUCCCAAAUAUGUGCAAUAUUUAGAUAAAUAAAAUUCUACAGGUGAGUCAGUGCUUUCAUAACCUUAAUUAGAGUAAGUGAUAGCAAAGCAUGUGAUAACAUGAGAUUAAGCAGAAUUUCUUGUCUGACAGCUACAAGUUGAUCAAAUUUUUCUUAUCUUCAUCUCUUUCAUCCUUUUAAAAUCCUGUUCUCCUCUGGGUAGUUGCACAUAUUCUGCAACCAAACUGUGAGAUUUCUGUUAUCCAAAAUAAGACAUGUUUUUUCCUUUGGUUUUCAUUCAGUGCUCUAUGAAAGGGAUUGGUGGUUAUUUAAAAACUAGACUUAAAACCAAACUCCUUAAAUACACAUAGAUGUAACAGAGGAGCCAUCUGCUUCCACUUCUGUCUAGAAUAAUUUCUGUUACAAGAAA
Molecule: long non-coding RNA, 1275 nt
Organism: Passer domesticus (house sparrow)
Lineage: Eukaryota; Metazoa; Chordata; Aves; Passeriformes; Passeridae
Exons: 4
Source: RefSeq, a predicted model, not a curated record